CCUACGGGAGGCAGCAGUGAGGAAUAUUGGUCAAUGGACGAGAGUCUGAACCAGCCAAGUAGCGUGAAGGAUGACUGCCCUAUGGGUUGUAAACUUCUUUUAUAUGGGAAUAAAAUGUUCCACGUGUGGGAUUUUGUAUGUACCAUAUGAAUAAGGAUCGGCUAACUCCGUGCCAGCAGCCGCGGUAAUACGGAGGAUCCGAGCGUUAUCCGGAUUUAUUGGGUUUAAAGGGAGCGUAGGGGGAUUGUUAAGUCAGUUGUGAAAGUUUGCGGCUCAACCGUAAAAUUGCAGUUGAAACUGGCAGUCUUGAGUACAGUAGAGGUGUGCGGAAUGCGUGGUGUAGCGGUGAAAUGCUUAGAUAUCACGAAGAACUCCGAUUGCGAAGGCAGUUCACUGGACUGCAACUGACACUGAGGCACGAAAGUGUGGGUAUCAAACAGGAUUAGAUACCCCUGUAGUC
This 460-nucleotide ribosomal RNA is filed under the name uncultured bacterium. RNAcentral describes it as "partial 16S ribosomal RNA". It matches the Rfam family "Bacterial small subunit ribosomal RNA", at positions 338 to 795 of the family's 1533-position model. The record is from RNAcentral.